This 23-nucleotide small RNA is filed under the name Arabidopsis thaliana (thale cress). RNAcentral's name for it is "Ath_wt_09513". The record is from RNAcentral. Lineage: Eukaryota; Viridiplantae; Streptophyta; Magnoliopsida; Brassicales; Brassicaceae.
UAACCGCAUCAGGUCUCCAAGGU